UGAACGCUAGCGGCAGGCCUAACACAUGCAAGUCGAGGGAGGAGCCUUCGGGCUUCGACCGGCGUACGGGUGCGUAACGCGUAUACAAUCUGCCUUUCACAUAGGGAUAGCCCGAAGAAAUUUGGAUUAAUACCUAAUGGUAUAUAGAUGUGGCAUCACCUUUAUAUUAAAGCUGAGGCGGUGAAAGAUGAGUAUGCGUUCUAUUAGCUAGUUGGAGAGGUAACGGCUCCCCAAGGCGACGAUAGAUAGGGGUUCUGAGAGGGAUAUCCCCCACACUGGUACUGAGAUACGGACCAGACUCCUACGGGAGGCAGCAGUGAGGAAUAUUGGACAAUGGUCGGAAGACUGAUCCAGCCAUGCCGCGUGCAGGAAGACGGCCUUAUGGGUUGUAAACUGCUUUUGCAGGGGAAGAAUAAGGACUACGCGUAGUUUGAUGACGGUACUCUGCGAAUAAGCAUCGGCUAACUCCGUG
RNAcentral lists this ribosomal RNA (472 nucleotides) under uncultured bacterium. RNAcentral describes it as "partial 16S ribosomal RNA". It matches the Rfam family "Bacterial small subunit ribosomal RNA", at positions 30 to 507 of the family's 1533-position model. The record is from RNAcentral.